UAACCCUCUUUCUCUCACCGCUGUUGAUCAUCUCCUCUCUGUCCUCGAUCCGCUUCUCUCAUGGGGCCAUAGACGCACACUGCGACACUGGUCCGUGGUCUCAACUUCACCUGCCUCCGUCUCCAUGGACGGAUCGAAGGAAAUGUCAACGAGCUCUGUGCUCAACUCGAGAAAUCUAGGCCGAUAAAAGUUGAAUUUGGAAAUUCCAACAAGAAGAAGAGAAGAUCUGAUUACGAUUCGCCCCAUGCUGCUCCUGUACGAAGAAGGUACAUUGAUAUGAACGAUGAUACUGACGGAGGAGAAGACCGAAUUGUGGUGUUCAGGAGAAAGCUAUCUGAUGAUUUUGAUAGAAUCGUUGGAGAGAUGACAACCAAAGCCAAUAAGAAAUCAAUUAAAUCUGGUUUACUGCUAACAUCUAAAUUUUGAACGUUUUGUUUAUUCAGAUUUAUAGCUCCAUGAGAUUUUCUACGAACAUAGAAAGUGAACAUGAACACAAGAUUUGAGAUCAGUGGAGAAUCUUCAGAUCUUUGAAAGAUGUUCUGCAAUCAAAGGCUCAUCUUCAAUCCAUGCUUAUGUCAAGAAAUGGCUCUUUGGUUGAAGACUUCUUUGGUCAACUGGUUGGUUCCGUACCUGAUCUG
This is a long non-coding RNA of Brassica oleracea var. oleracea, 638 nucleotides long. RefSeq lists it as uncharacterized. NCBI's taxonomy places the organism in Eukaryota, Viridiplantae, Streptophyta, Magnoliopsida, Brassicales, Brassicaceae. The transcript is spliced from 3 exons. The record is from RefSeq and is a predicted model, not a curated record.